GACGAACGCUGGCGGCGUGCUUAACACAUGCAAGUCGAGCGGUAAGGCCCUUCGGGGUACACGAGCGGCGAACGGGUGAGUAACACGUGGGUGAUCUGCCCUGUACUUCGGGAUAAGCCUGGGAAACUGGGUCUAAUACCGGAUAUGACCUUACAUCGCAUGGUGUUUGGUGGAAAGAUUUAUCGGUACAGGAUGGGCCCGCGGCCUAUCAGCUUGUUGGUGGGGUAAUGGCCUACCAAGGCGACGACGGGUAGCCGGCCUGAGAGGGCGACCGGCCACACUGGGACUGAGACACGGCCCAGACUCCUACGGGAGGCAGCAGUGGGGAAUAUUGCACAAUGGGCGAAAGCCUGAUGCAGCGACGCCGCGUGAGGGAUGACGGCCUUCGGGUUGUAAACCUCUUUCGACAGGGACGAAGCGCAAG
RNAcentral lists this ribosomal RNA (424 nucleotides) under Nocardia sp. 14-204. RNAcentral's name for it is "bacterial SSU rRNA". It matches the Rfam family "Bacterial small subunit ribosomal RNA", at positions 28 to 456 of the family's 1533-position model. Lineage: Bacteria; Bacillati; Actinomycetota; Actinomycetes; Mycobacteriales; Nocardiaceae. The record is from RNAcentral.